Molecule: ribosomal RNA, 465 nt
Filed under: Vreelandella stevensii
Lineage: Bacteria; Pseudomonadati; Pseudomonadota; Gammaproteobacteria; Oceanospirillales; Halomonadaceae
Description: partial 16S ribosomal RNA
Rfam family: Bacterial small subunit ribosomal RNA
Source: RNAcentral
CCUACGGGUGGCUGCAGUGGGGAAUAUUGGACAAUGGGGGGAACCCUGAUCCAGCCAUGCCGCGUGUGUGAAGAAGACCCUCGGGUUGUAAAGCACUUUCAGUGAGGAAGAACGCCUGGUGGUUAAUACCCAUCAGGAAAGACAUCACUCACAGAAGAAGCACCGGCUAACUCCGUGCCAGCAGCCGCGGUAAUACGGAGGGUGCGAGCGUUAAUCGGAAUUACUGGGCGUAAAGCGCGCGUAGGUGGCUUGAUAAGCCGGUUGUGAAAGCCCCGGGCUCAACCUGGGAACGGCAUCCGGAACUGUCAAGCUAGAGUGCAGGAGAGGAAGGUAGAAUUCCCGGUGUAGCGGUGAAAUGCGUAGAGAUCGGGAGGAAUACCAGUGGCGAAGGCGGCCUUCUGGACUGACACUGACACUGAGGUGCGAAAGCGUGGGUAGCAAACAGGAUUAGAUACCCGGGUAGUC